Molecule: ribosomal RNA, 406 nt
Filed under: uncultured bacterium
Lineage: Bacteria
Description: partial 16S ribosomal RNA
Rfam family: Bacterial small subunit ribosomal RNA
Source: RNAcentral
GACGAACGCUGGCGGCGUGCCUAAUACAUGCAAGUCGAACGAGCGGCGGACGGGUGAGCAAUGUAUGGGAAACUGCCUGACGGAGGGGGAUAACUACUGGAAACGGUAGCUAAUACCGCAUACCAUCAGAUGUGCCCAGAUGGGAUUAGCUAGUAGGUGGGGUAAGGGCUCACCUAGGCGACGAUCACUAGCUGGUCUGAGAGGAUGACCAGCCACACUGGAACUGAGACACGGUCCAGACUCCUACGGGAGGCAGCAGUGGGGAAUAUUGCACAAUGGGCGCAACCCUGAUGCAGCCAUGCCGCGUGUGUGAAGAAGGCCUUCGGGUUGGAAAGCACUGUCAGCAGGGAGGCGUUACCCGCAGAAGAAGCACCGGCUAACUCCGUGCCAGCAGCCGCGGUAAUAC